CAGUAGCCGCGGUAAUACGGAGGGUGCAAGCGUUACUCGGAAUUACUGGGCGUAAAGCGUGCGUAGGUGGUGGUUUAAGUCCGUUGUGAAAGCCCUGGGCUCAACCUGGGAAUUGCAGUGGAUACUGGGUCACUAGAGUGUGGUAGAGGAUAGUGGAAUUUCCGGUGUAGCAGUGAAAUGCGUAGAGAUCGGAAGGAACAUCUGUGGCGAAGGCGACUAUCUGGGCCAACACUGACACUGAGGCACGAAAGCGUGGGGAGCAAACAGGAUUAGAUACCCCGGUAGUCCCUGUCUCUUAUAC
Molecule: ribosomal RNA, 301 nt
Filed under: uncultured bacterium
Lineage: Bacteria
Description: partial 16S ribosomal RNA
Rfam family: Bacterial small subunit ribosomal RNA
Source: RNAcentral